UAGCUCAGUUGGUAGAGCAGCAGAGUUUCAAUCUGAGGAUCCUGGGUUCAAGUCCUUG
This 58-nucleotide transfer RNA is filed under the name Anolis carolinensis (green anole). It matches the Rfam family "tRNA", at positions 8 to 63 of the family's 71-position model. From Rfam's summary of the family: Transfer RNA (tRNA) molecules are approximately 80 nucleotides in length. Their secondary structure includes four short double-helical elements and three loops (D, anti-codon, and T loops). Further hydrogen bonds mediate the characteristic L-shaped molecular structure. tRNAs have two regions of fundamental functional importance: the anti-codon, which is responsible for specific mRNA codon recognition, and the 3' end, to which the tRNAs corresponding amino acid is attached (by aminoacyl-tRNA synthetases). tRNAs cope with the degeneracy of the genetic code in two manners: having more than one tRNA (with a specific anti-codon) for a particular amino acid; and 'wobble' base-pairing, i.e. permitting non-standard base-pairing at the 3rd anti-codon position. The record is from Rfam by way of RNAcentral. Lineage: Eukaryota; Metazoa; Chordata; Lepidosauria; Squamata; Anolidae.